This 460-nucleotide ribosomal RNA is filed under the name uncultured bacterium. Its description in RNAcentral is "partial 16S ribosomal RNA". It matches the Rfam family "Bacterial small subunit ribosomal RNA", at positions 338 to 795 of the family's 1533-position model. The record is from RNAcentral.
CCUACGGGAGGCUGCAGUGAGGAAUAUUGGUCAAUGGACGAGAGUCUGAACCAGCCAAGUAGCGUGAAGGAUGACUGCCCUAUGGGUUGUAAACUUCUUUUGUAAGGGAAUAAAACGAGGUACGUGUGCCUGUUUGCAUGUACUUUAUGAAUAAGGAUCGGCUAACUCCGUGCCAGCAGCCGCGGUAAUACGGAGGAUCCGAGCGUUAUCCGGAUUUAUUGGGUUUAAAGGGUGCGUAGAUGGGUUGUUAAGUCAGUUGUGAAAGUUUGCGGCUCAACCGUAAAAUUGCCAUUGAUACUGGCAGUCUUGAGUGCAGUUGAGGUAGGCGGAAUGCGUGGUGUAGCGGUGAAAUGCUUAGAUAUCACGCAGAACCCCGAUUGCGAAGGCAGCUUACUAAGCUGUGACUGACGUUGAUGCACGAAAGUGUGGGUAUCAAACAGGAUUAGAUACCCCAGUAGUC